Loxodonta africana (African savanna elephant) is the source of this 3218-nucleotide long non-coding RNA. RefSeq lists it as uncharacterized. The record is from RefSeq and is a predicted model, not a curated record. The transcript has 3 exons. NCBI's taxonomy places the organism in Eukaryota, Metazoa, Chordata, Mammalia, Proboscidea, Elephantidae.
GCGCCGGAGCGCGCGGGCGGCGCCCCCGCACCCGGGCGCAGCCGGGGAAGCGGCCGGAGGGCACCGUCCAGGCCGCGCUGGCGGCCCCUCCCGGAGCGGCUGUGACAGCAGCGGCGACAGCAGCUUCUACUCGGCUGAGUUCUCAAAAGUAAAUAAAGAGAUGGAAUGAUUGGACUCUUUCCUUUGUGGCUAUGGACUUUGGAUGCCUACCACCUGUUUGUUGGCUUUGAGUUCUGUGAAAUAAUUUCUCCAGCCUGCGUGAAGGAAACAGAGGAAUGAAGCAGAGCAUUCGCACAGAGGAGGGCGCAAGCUGGAAAAGGCUUCAGCUGAGUGGAUCUCCGAUGAGUAUAUCUUAGACCUCAUCUUGUUUGAACAUUCGGCAGGAAUUGUCCUACUAGAUACUUAAAUGGGAGAAUUUUAUCAAAGUGGAAAAGAAAAUUUGUGUCAACCCAAAUGACUUUGAUCACUCCUUGUAAAAAGCAGGUUCUUCUUUAGUGACUAGAUAGUCUCAACAAUGUUUGAACACCUUUACCCUAAAUGUGAGCUCUUUCUCUUUUAGUGAAUGGUUUACUAAUUAACUGGUUCUGCUUUUCCCUUUUAGAAUUUAAGAAGAAAGAAAGAAAAUUAUAAAAGUCGAGGCUUUCAUCAAGAAGUGAAAUGAAAAAGUGUAAAACUAGAAAUGCAGGUGCCAAGAGCACUUCAAAUGAGCAAGUCAAAUUUUCAAAUAAAUCUUAAUCUGACCUUUUAGCUCAAAAUGACAGGAUGAGGAGAUGCCUAAACUGUGGAGAGGGCAGGAUCAGAGCAUGGAAAAGUAUAAAGUCUUGAGGAACCUUUUAAUUGUUUUUUUUUUUUUUUUUUUCGUUAGCUUAUUGGAUGUGGGCCCUGGAAUGCUGGUGUCCCAUCUCUGCUACCAGUUAAGCUUGUUGAAACACUCUCACUGUACUUACUUCAAAGAGUUGCUGGGAGAACUGUUGAAAUAGUGUAAGAAAUACAUAGUUAGUCAUAGGAGCUUUUAUUAUGACCACAAAUGUCCUACAGAGCAAGCACUUUUAUGUCUUCCUUUUAAUCAUUUAUAAUCAAGCAUUUAAAAUGUAGAUCAAAUUAUUUACAUUUUUUUAAAAUUUAAAUUUCUUUUAUGAUUACAACUUUCACCUCUCUUCACGGGAUUUCCUUUUUUAACAAAUGGCUUUUCCUGAAACCUUAAGUCAUAUUUCCAUUGUUUGAAUUAGUUCUUCCUAUAGAAAACAUGCUGUUUUUGCCAGUGACCACAAGAGGACACAAUUUCCCAGAGAACUUUGUGGCAAAAGAAGUUUAUAGAAGAGGAAGGCAAACAAAAUAGCAAAAAUGCCACACAUAACUAACUGAUGUCAUUUUGGGCAUGUCUUUUGAUUUAUGUCACUUUUAUUAAUUUUUAAAACAUAAUCAAACAGGUUGGCAUUCAAACUUCAGAUACUUUUGGAGAUCAUAUGUCUUGUGCAACAUAAAACGAAAGCAUACGUUUACAAAAAGAUAUUAAAUAUUACUUUUGUAGUUAAGGAAAAAUGUUUAUUUUACAUUGUCUGGAAUUUGUACAGAAAUAUCAGUGACCUGGAAUUUUACUUACUUAAUUUUAGAGCAGUGUUUGGCAAUGAAAAACAUUUAUAUAUAUAUAUAUACACAUACAUCUCCAAAAUGCCUUUGUUGGAAAUCCUGAAUUUUUAGUUUGGAUAUUUAGGAUGCUUGUAUGUGAAAAAUUAAUUUGUAAAUUGUGUUUUAUGCUAUGUCAAUUACAUUUUAACAUACAUGAUUGAUUAAUAGCUAGUUUUUUUCAGAGAUAUGGUAGAACAGGAUAUUUUAUGAUACUGACUCCCAGCACUUCCCUAUAAUAAUUAUAUACAAUCUUUGAUUUCAUUUAAUAAUGUCCUCCUCCUUUCCUAUACCCUUCUCUCAAAAAUGGUUUCAGAACAUCUGAUUAAUUUGUAAAUUAAAAUGUAUAUUAAAGUGAGUUAUGUCUUGAUAUUUUUCUGGAAGAAUUUCAUAGUUCUGGCGUUGCCAGCACAACCAGGCUGGGGAAUCCCUGCUUCAUUUGGAACUAAAUGCUUUGCUUUGCAUUUGUGUCUUCAAGCAAAUACAUUCCUAAUAACUUUCUCUGAGAACCUCCAAGGAGGGAUGGAACAAUGGACCAAAAGAAAAAAAAAGACGAGGGAGAGAAAAAAAUAAAAUAAGGAGGAGAUCGUUGGAGAGGUGGCAGAACCUGAAUACCCAAUGCCAUGGAGUCGAUUCCAGAACCUGAAUAGAAAGGGUAAAAGAGGAAGCCAGAGCAAGUGAUCAAGAGUGAAAGAGAACAAGAGAGAAUGAGGCUUGAUAUGUCAAGGGAAAAUGGGCCUAAAUGGCAAGAGAAAGGAAGAAAUUAAUGCACAGAAUGGGGGAUAGGAAACCACCAGGAAUAUUUACUCCAGUUUCUGCUCAAAGACAUCAUUGCAAGUAGUUGCUUGUCCCUGGGUGUAAGCAUUUAGUUUUUCAAAUCCUUGUCAUUCUCAUCCAGGUCAUGACAGAGUGAGGAACAGGGUAAAGGGCCAUAAAACUUUUAAUAAAGCUUGCUGUUUAAUUGUGGAAUAUGCCCCAUCCUAUUUUUUUUUUUAAAUUAGAGUGAAGCUGGUAGCAUGCUGUCAUUACUGGACCUCAGGGUGGUAGAGGAAAAGAGAUCUGGGGGAAUGCUGAUAUCAUUACUCCAUGAAAAAUGCUAUUAACCCUAAUGGAAUUUCAGAAAUCUUAUGUGGUUGCUGAGACUCCCAGCUCAUUAUUUAUUUUCCAUUUGACCUCCACAAUGGAAGUCAAACCGGACGUUUUUCCAUGUGGCGGGCCAGGAUCAAUGGCUCCCUUCCCUACCUCAGAUAACUCAGGGAAGGACAGACCUGCAGAUGAUAAGUCUUGUUCUCACUCACCCCUACACAAGACCUUGAGAGAUUGUAAGCUCCAACUUCUGCCUAAUCGUGCAUUCUGGAGACCAGAAUUCUCGUUUCAACUGACAUUAAUUAAUUGUAGUGCAUUUAUUGAUUCUUUUAUAAUUUAACAAAAAUACUCUGGUUCCUCCUAUUAUGUUAAAUGACCUGAGUAAAAAGAUUUAGUCCCUGACCUCAAGGACUUCACAGUCUAAUGGGAAACAAUUUUAUAACACGAGGAGUUAAAUGCUAUGAUAGAUGUUUGCAAAGCGUGCCAAUGAAGGACAUUGAAUGAUA